CAAUAGCGUCCUCCAUUUCCUUAAUUCUGUAAUUUUAAGAAUAAGGAAAAAUAAUGAGGUGAUAAACUAUAGUUUUGAUUAUAAGACUCGUAAUAGUUUUUAACUUCAUUUAAAAUAACAAGUAUUUUUAUCGUGACCCCGAACCAAUAUGUAGCAUUAUAGUACCUAUCUCUAUCCUGAAACAGCCAUGCGUCCAGAUUUAAAAAGUUUAGCAGCAGUUCUACAAUAAAAGUGAUACUAUGAUCUAAUGCCUCAACAUGGGCAGCGGUAGUCGUGUUAUGAUGUCUAUGGGCUCCUGUAAUUUAAGAAAACGCGUUUUACCAGAAAAAUGUUACUGAGUACUCGAGGUGGGUCGCGGCAUUUACGUUGUUCAUAUCUAUGAGCUCCGGUGAGCACUAAACACCAGGUUUUUUUUUCUAUUGCCCUUGAAGGCUGACGAGCAUACGGCCCACCUGAUGGUGAGUGGUUACCGUCGCCCAUGGACUUCAGCAAUGCCAGGGGCAGAGCCAAGCCGCUGCUGGUGGAUUGCGAGCUCGUUCGACAUUAGAAAUAAUGAGAUAAAACUGUUAAGUCUAUGACACGCGAAACCCGAAAAAAAUACUACAACUAGAUUCACUCGUACAUUCAAUCGCGUACCUUUGGAACGUUAGUGAAAGAACGUCUUCUUCAUUUAGUGUGAUGCCAUAAUGAACUCGCAGAUAGUUUGAAACAAACGAUGUUUUCUCAUUCACCACACCCAAUUCACCGAGCGUAGUAUUCUCAUCAGAGAUUCGAGUUACGUCAACAUCUAAAAAAAAUUCAUAAAGUUAAUUAGUUGAUGUUGCAGCUUUAUUAUAAUCGAAUCAGGUAUUUCUUAAAAGCUCGCACGGAAUAAUAACCCAAUCUUGUUUCUUACGAGGCAAUCAUAACUUAAAUUGUAGGACAGUCGGUAUAUUAAAAUUUGUAUGGGAUUUUCAUUUUAUUUGUAUAGGCUAGCAAGUAGCUUGUGUGCCAAUCGAUGACAAUGGAGAAAAAUAUUUUAAUAAUAACUUAGUUUACUUUUCAAAAAUGUACAAGAGACAGAAUCCAAUUGAUGACAAAAUAGAUACAAGUAUCAAUUCUGCUGACAAUGCUGUCAUUUGGACAAAAUUUAGAAAAUAAGAAAUUAUGUUUACCAGUUAUAGCACAUAAUUGUUGCAGCAGCGACUGUUGAGAAGAACUAGGGAACGCAACCACCGAAUUAUCUCCGGAACAAAGCGCAGCCUCCGUCGCUUCUACAUACAGACGGCUGCUUGGAAAAUUAUGUGUGUCGAGGUCCUUUGAAAAAUAAUGGCUUUAUCUAACUAGCUGUUUUAUUAAAUAUUACAUUCAACUAUUAUAAGAAGGAUACGAAGAAUGAUAUUGAUUCUGUACAAAUUCAUGCUAUACAUGGUAUCGUCCACAAAAAUAAAGAAAGAUUGGCGAUGUGGUUUCUGCCUAGGGUAGUAUAAUUAUAUUGCUUCAUGAAUAUUGCAAACGCCAGCUGGAAGAUUUGCUAGGAAAUGGAUAUGCGUUAUAUCAGGAUGCUGCGGUCUUCAACUGGAAUUUACUGGUGGUAAGACGUACCGCACAGCUACACAGUAAGCAUGAUCUCCUACUCAACUACGUCACAAAACAAUCUACCUGAGUUUGUUCGAGGGUGGAAAUUCAUCGAGCUUCAAGAGGAUCCGUCCACGGUGCUGUCUGGUCGCCAGCAACCGAAAGGCGCGGGAAACUUCAGAAGGACCAUAUUUCACUCGUGACAAAGGACGAACGUAACCACGGGAUAUUCCUUCACUUAACGAUGAGUGUAACAUCUAGAACAUAACAGAUACUUUAUAUGAGGGCUUAUGAUUGAAAAUAAUAUUUUAAGACUAGUCCUUAAAGGUCAAUUUAGCUUCGCACAGUGCAGAUAGUAUGACUGUUAGACGAGUUCUUUGUUAGAAAACAAAACAAGCAUCAAAUAAAUAAUGAAUUUCCU
This is a long non-coding RNA of Bombyx mori (domestic silkworm), 1978 nucleotides long. RefSeq lists it as uncharacterized. The record is from RefSeq and is a predicted model, not a curated record. NCBI's taxonomy places the organism in Eukaryota, Metazoa, Arthropoda, Insecta, Lepidoptera, Bombycidae. The transcript is spliced from 2 exons.